UACGGAGGGUGCGAGCGUUAAUCGGAAUUACUGGGCGUAAAGCGCGCGUAGGCGGCUUGUUAAGUCGGAUGUGAAAUCCCCGGGCUCAACCUGGGAAUUGCAUUCGAUACUGGCCGACUAGAGUACGAGGGAGGGAGGUAGAAUUCCCCGUGUAGCGGUGAAAUGCGUAAAUAUGUGGAGGAAUACCGGUGGCGAAGGCGGCCUCCUGGCUCGAUACUGACGCUGAGGUGCGAAAGCGUGGGUAGCAAACAGGACUAGAUACCCUGGUAGUCCACGCCGUAAACGAUGUCUACUAGCCGUUGGGAGACUUGGUUUCUUAGUGGCGCAGCUAACGCACUAAGUAGACCGCCUGGGGAGUACGGCCGCAAGGUUAAAACUCAAAUGAAUUGACGGGGGCCCGCACAAGCGGUGGAGCAUGUGGUUUAAUUCGAUGCAACGCGAAGAACCUUACCAGGUCUUGACAUCCUCGGAACUAUCCAGAGAUGGAUGGGUGCCUUCGGGAACCGAGAGACAGGUGCUGCAUGGCUGUCGUCAGCUCGUGUCGUGAGAUGUUGGGUUAAGUCCCGUAACGAGCGCAACCCUUGUCCUUAGUUGCCAGCGCGUAAUGGCGGGAACUCUAAGGAGACUGCCGGUGACAAUCCGGAGGAAGGUGGGGACGACGUCAAGUCGUCAUGCCCCUUACGACCUGGGCUACACCCGUGCUCCAAUGGAACGCCCAGAGGGUUGCAACCCCGCGAGGGUGAGCCAAUCCCACAAAACGUUUCCUAGUCCGGAUCGGAGUCUGCAACUCGACUCCGUGAAGUCGGAAUCGCUAGUAAUCGCGGAUCAGAAUGCCGCGGUGAAUACGUUCCCGGGCCU
Molecule: ribosomal RNA, 858 nt
Filed under: uncultured bacterium
Lineage: Bacteria
Description: SSU rRNA
Rfam family: Bacterial small subunit ribosomal RNA
Source: RNAcentral